GUUGUAUAGUCAAGUAAUUAAGUGCAUGUGGUGGAUGCCUUGGCAGUCAGAGGCGAUGAAAGACGUGAUAGCCUGCGAAAAGCUCCGGGGAGGCGGCAAAUAUCCUGUGAUCCGGAGAUGUCUGAAUGGGGAAACCCACUUACCAUAAGGUAGGUAUUGCAACAUGAAUACAUAGUGUUGCAAG
RNAcentral lists this ribosomal RNA (184 nucleotides) under Acinetobacter sp. 51m. Its description in RNAcentral is "partial 23S ribosomal RNA". It matches the Rfam family "Bacterial large subunit ribosomal RNA", at positions 1 to 178 of the family's 2925-position model. The record is from RNAcentral. Lineage: Bacteria; Pseudomonadati; Pseudomonadota; Gammaproteobacteria; Moraxellales; Moraxellaceae.